UACGGGGGGAGCAAGCGUUGUUCGGAUUUACUGGGCGUAAAGGGCGCGUAGGCGGUCGUGACAAGUCACUUGUGAAAUCUCCGGGCUUAACUCGGAAAGGUCAAGUGAUACUGUCGGACUAGAGUACAGAAGGGGCAACUGGAAUUCUCGGUGUAGCGGUGAAAUGCGUAGAUAUCGAGAGGAACACCUGCGGCGAAGGCGGGUUGCUGGGCUGAUACUGACGCUGAGGCGCGAAAGCCAGGGGAGCGAACGGG
Molecule: ribosomal RNA, 254 nt
Filed under: uncultured bacterium
Lineage: Bacteria
Description: partial 16S ribosomal RNA
Rfam family: Bacterial small subunit ribosomal RNA
Source: RNAcentral